AUAAUGACUCUCGGCAACGGAUAUCUCGGCUCACGCAUCGAUGAAGAACGUAGCAAAAUGCGAUACUUGGUGUGAAUUGCAGAAUCCCGUGAACCAUCGAGUUUUUGAACGCAAGUUGCGCCCGAAGCCAUCUGGUUGAGGGCACGUCUGCCUGGGCGUCACGC
This 164-nucleotide ribosomal RNA is filed under the name Rudbeckia laciniata. Its description in RNAcentral is "5.8S ribosomal RNA". It matches the Rfam family "5.8S ribosomal RNA". From Rfam's summary of the family: 5.8S ribosomal RNA (5.8S rRNA) is a component of the large subunit of the eukaryotic ribosome. It is transcribed by RNA polymerase I as part of the 45S precursor that also contains 18S and 28S rRNA. Lineage: Eukaryota; Viridiplantae; Streptophyta; Magnoliopsida; Asterales; Asteraceae. The record is from RNAcentral.